RNAcentral lists this transfer RNA (94 nucleotides) under Aspergillus ustus. It matches the Rfam family "tRNA". Rfam says of the family: Transfer RNA (tRNA) molecules are approximately 80 nucleotides in length. Their secondary structure includes four short double-helical elements and three loops (D, anti-codon, and T loops). Lineage: Eukaryota; Fungi; Ascomycota; Eurotiomycetes; Eurotiales; Aspergillaceae. The record is from Rfam by way of RNAcentral.
GGCCGGGUGGCCUAAUGGUAAGGCGUUUGUUUUCGGUGGUUAUUCAAUAGCUGCAGCUCACAAAAGAUUGAGGGUUCGAGUCCCUUCCCGGUCG